ACCCUUUUGCUGUGAAGAUACACAAUUCUCAAUCCUUUUUUCUGAGCCACAGAAAAUCUUAUCUUUCAGCUGGUGACACUUUUAGGAUAAAGACUUUUUUCCCUUAGGGGAACCUCAGAGCUUAUCUAAUAAGGACUCCCUGGUUCAAACUUCCAAGAUCUGUAUAGGAAAUAGCUAGGGAUUUCCAUUUCCCUCUGUCCUCAUCACUCUUCAACCCUUUAUACCUAAAUAAAUAGACAUCUCGAUUUUUAAUACAGACUUCAAUUAGUUUCAAUGUGUUAGGAGGGGAACUUCAAAGAACAUCAUUUAAAGAAGGAAGACUGAGGGGAAAUUAACUUACCCUUUCAGUCCAGUCAGAACUGACUCCAUUUGUUAACAGCACAACUUAGGGGAAAAAGGAGGAAGGAAGUGGUAUUAUUUUAUAUUUAUUCCCCAAGUAGCUGACAACUUCGGUUCCUUCUCAAUUUCCCCACUAAUACAGGGUACUCCAUGAACUCCAAAGCUACAGUAGACCAGAGAUGAUUCUAGGAUUGUAUGGAGUCCCCCAUCUCUGCUCCAGAGGAAAUCUAAUAGCAACUUCAUUAGCAUACCAAAGGCUCCACCUUCAAGAGAGCCUCCUUUCAAGAAAUGUUUCCAGAGAAUUCUCCUCCUGACUCCUCCUGAGUUCUCCUUCCACAGCCUCCUUCAAGACCUCUCUUCAGAGCAUCAACCCUCCAGGACCUCUCUCCUCUCAGACCACCCUCAGAGCAUCAACCUCUUUCAGAGCAUAAAACCUCCUCCAGUCCUCAGACCUGCUAUCUUUAAGCCAAAAAUCUAAGUUCCCUCCCCUCAGUUCUCACAUCUACCAAUCACUGUCGAUCUCUCCCCUGUGCCAAUGGUGUCUCUAGCUUAACCCAGGACCACCCAGAGGUCUGUCCCCUUUGCACAUGUCUGUUGAAGGUCAUAUUCUCAAAUAAUUAAAUCUUGAUCUUUGCUGCAGCCCUUCCUAAAUCCUGUUACUCUGAGUAGGGUGGAGAUUGUAGUUUCCAAGACCUGGUACUGUCAUUCCAAGUAGCUCUAUUGUAUCAAUUCUAAAAUCAAUCAUGACUCAAAGAACUUCCUGUUCUAUGCUUAAGCAUAGGUCAAAGCCCUUUCCAUUGUUUAGCAAAAGGUUUCCGUCCUAAAGUAGUCUUAAGUAGGGAGGAGAAGGAUCCUCCCAAGCCAAGGAGUUUCAUAUUCCAAUAGAGUUCUUACUAUCAGUA
RNAcentral lists this long non-coding RNA (1241 nucleotides) under Monodelphis domestica (gray short-tailed opossum). RNAcentral's name for it is "lncRNA (ENSMODG00000036918.1)". The record is from RNAcentral. Lineage: Eukaryota; Metazoa; Chordata; Mammalia; Didelphimorphia; Didelphidae.